This 469-nucleotide long non-coding RNA is filed under the name Vulpes vulpes (red fox). Its description in RNAcentral is "lncRNA (ENSVVUG00000018612.1)". The record is from RNAcentral. Lineage: Eukaryota; Metazoa; Chordata; Mammalia; Carnivora; Canidae.
AAUGUACCACAGGAAACACACAUUCUGACUAGUGUAUUAAAAUGCUGUUCAUUCUGACCAAGGCAACAAACAGAUCUCUCUGAAACAAGAAUUAAUCCAUAAACAAGACUGCACAUAUCCUUUUCAGAAAUGAGAACCUUAGUAGUUGUGGUGAGAAAAAUGGAAUUCAAUGUGAUGGAAAAGCAACUAUAGAUGUGUAUGCAGAGCAGCAUUAAGUGUGACAAGGAAGGUGGAAUAACAUGGACUGAAUAUAGAACUGAGGCCGUGGAUCAGUCAUGCCACACAUUUCUCAGAUGGAUACAACUGUACCAAAUUUACUACCAAGACAGUCCAACCAAUUGAUCCUCAGUCUGCCAAACCCAGGCAGUGCAGUGACAAGUGAUCUUUUCCUGGAGGAGCUAAAGUGUUCUGUGUUUAAGGGAUGUGACUGAGAUCACGUGGAUCAUAACUGGAAAAACCUGGAUGUGAA